RNAcentral lists this long non-coding RNA (1102 nucleotides) under Salvia miltiorrhiza (redroot sage). RNAcentral describes it as "long non-coding RNA (SMIL_LNC007514)". The record is from RNAcentral. Lineage: Eukaryota; Viridiplantae; Streptophyta; Magnoliopsida; Lamiales; Lamiaceae.
AUGAGCUAUCCAUUAAAGUUACAUAGAUUCUUCAUGCAAUUUUCAUCAGCUAUCCAUUAAAGUUACAUAGAUUAUUGCACAAGGUUUUCUGUUUUGCAGUGCAAUUUUCAUGAGCUAUCCAUUAAAGUUACAUAUGAUUUGUCAUCAUUUUGCAAGUGGAUAUCAAGGAGACAGAAAAAGUUUCAAGUUUCUUUCUGCAAGUGUGAUAGCAAUUUUCAUAGUAUAUACGAUUUUCAUGAGCUAUCCAUUAAAGUUACAUAGAUUAUUGCACAAGGUUUUCAAGGUUUUUGUUUUGCAAGUGUGAAUAUAACGAGGAGGAAAAUGAAAAUGAAGAAAGAAAAAAGAAAAAAACAUUUAUUUAUCUCUUCAAAAUUCGCUUCGCAGUGCAAUUUUCAUGAGCUAUCCAUUAAAGUUACAUAGAUUAAAACCGUUUUGCAAGUGUGAAAUACAACCCAUUAAAGUUACAUAGAUUAAAACCGUUUUGCAAGUGUGAAAUACAACCAGAAGGAAAACGAAGAAAGAAAAAAGCACGAGAGGGGGUUGAGAAGGAUCAUGCAUCAUCCCUGCAGCGGUAGUAUCUGGAGCAGCCCCUGUGGUAAGGAUUAGAGGGCUCGGGGAGGCAGCCGCUGCCUCGGGAGUAAGGCUGGCCUGCUGCUCCGCCAUUGCAGACGGGCUGGUCAGGUUUGAGAGCUCCAGGUGAGAUGUAUUUCUUCUGCCCAAGAAACCUUCUGCUGAUAUCUGAUUCCAUCAGCAUCUCCAAGUCUCUGCUGCAUUCAGCAAUGGAACCUAUGCAUGGCGAUGGCGAGGGUACCGUUGCGUUGAAGGAAGCGGCGUUGAUCGGAGGAGUGAGGGUAAGGAAUAGGAAGAAGACAUGAAAAAGGAAGGUAGUGUGCAUUGCUUCCAUUAGCUUUACUGGAGAGUUUUCAGCAGCACUGACAUUCAGCAAAGCUUAUAAAGUUGGGAUAGUGGAAGACACACUAUGAGCACUUCACCUAAACAAAAACUAUUACAUAAUAUUUUAUUGUGAAAAUACCAAAAAAAUGUCACAGUCUUUGGACUUUUUUUCAAUAAUGUCAUAUUUUUUUAUUAAUUUUUAUCAAAU